UGAGAAAACUGCUAAAGAUGGCCG
RNAcentral lists this non-coding RNA (24 nucleotides) under Arabidopsis thaliana (thale cress). The record is from RNAcentral. Lineage: Eukaryota; Viridiplantae; Streptophyta; Magnoliopsida; Brassicales; Brassicaceae.